This is a small nuclear RNA of Herpailurus yagouaroundi (jaguarundi), 105 nucleotides long. Lineage: Eukaryota; Metazoa; Chordata; Mammalia; Carnivora; Felidae. The record is from RefSeq and is a predicted model, not a curated record.
GCUUGCUUUGUAAACACAUGUACUAAAAUUGGAAUGAUACAGAAAAGAUUAGCAUGGCCCCUGUGCAAGGAAGACACACAAAUCUGUGAAGCAUUUCAUUGUUUU